This 582-nucleotide ribosomal RNA is filed under the name Ustilentyloma graminis. RNAcentral describes it as "eukaryotic LSU rRNA". It matches the Rfam family "Eukaryotic large subunit ribosomal RNA", at positions 75 to 669 of the family's 3401-position model. The record is from RNAcentral. Lineage: Eukaryota; Fungi; Basidiomycota; Microbotryomycetes; Microbotryales; Ustilentylomataceae.
AUCCCUAGUAGCGGCGAGCGAAGCGGGAAGAGCUCAAAUUUAUAAUCUGGCACCUUCGGUGUCCGAGUUGUAAUCUCUAGAAGUGUUUUCCGCGUUGGACCGCACACAAGUCUGUUGGAAUACAGCGGCAUAGUGGUGAAACCCCCGUAUAUGGUGCGGACGCCCAGCGCUUUGUGAUACACUUUCAAUGAGUCGAGUUGUUUGGGAAUGCAGCUCAAAUUGGGUGGUAAAUUCCAUCUAAAGCUAAAUAUUGGCGAGAGACCGAUAGCGAACAAGUACCGUGAGGGAAAGAUGAAAAGCACUUUGGAAAGAGAGUUAACAGUACGUGAAAUUGUUGGAAGGGAAACGCUUGAAGUCAGACUUGCUUGCCGGAGCUUGCUUCGGUUUGCAGGCCAGCAUCAGUUUUCCGGGGUGGAUAAUGACGGUUUGAAGGUAGCAGUCUCGGCUGUGUUAUAGCUUUCCGUUGGAUACAUCCUGGGGGACUGAGGAACGCAGCGUGCUUUUUGCGAAAGACUCGUCUUUUUCACGCUUAGGAUGCUGGUGGAAUGGCUUUAAACGACCCGUCUUGAAACCACGGACCAC